This is an RNA transcript of Spinacia oleracea (spinach), 1822 nucleotides long. It is a transcript of the gene named calmodulin-interacting protein 111, with no coding region annotated. The transcript has 8 exons. The record is from RefSeq and is a predicted model, not a curated record. Lineage: Eukaryota; Viridiplantae; Streptophyta; Magnoliopsida; Caryophyllales; Amaranthaceae.
UCUUUCCCUUGAAUUCACAGGGUUCUUUUACAAACACUUAAACCUCCGCCGUUUAGCAGUUUAAUUUCUUCUCCCAACCAGUAAAAUUGGAUGUUGAAGAUCUAGAGUAGCAUUUUUCUUCCAUCAAAUCCAUGAGCAAGGAUAGGUAAUUGGUUUCAUGUUCAACUCGCAGCUUAGUAUCUAUUAUUCUUCUCGAUCAAUUACCUUCUCUCUCCUGUUGUCUUUGAGAUUUACCAUAGUCCUUGGCUUUGGAAGUUAUUUGAAAAGUUUAAGGUCAAAUUCAUUUCUUGAUCUUCCCCCUUCGAUAUUUUGCGGACACGAAGACCCCACUCCUUGAUGUCACUUGCAAGUUAGAAUAUUUUGUAGCAGUUGACUUUCAAAGGGCUCAUGAUAUAAUCAAUCAGGUGGCUCUUAAGCCGUCUACAAUUCAUCCUUCACACUAUCAUCUUCAUCCUUGGAUGAAGAAUCAUCCAUCAAUUCAAUCUCUUCUUCAACUGCUGCAUCAGGGUUGAUGCAAAGACUAGACUUCACAGAAUCAUAUACACGAGAAGCAAAAUCCUUAGGGUCAUCCAGCAAGAAGCCACUCUCAAAGAGAGAUGUCUGGUAGCUGCGAUGGGUUCAAUAGCAUCGUCAAUGGAUCUGGUUUUGCUGGACAAGAAUCAAGAUUUUCAUUUUAUCUGAAAGAUGCUUAUCAGUAUCCCUGUCCAGUAGAGAUUAGAAUGCUUCAAGUACAAGUUGCAUGUGUAGAACAUUUCUCGGGUGAUGUCAUCUUUUCCAGAGCAUCCUAGAGAAACAGAUAAUCAAGAGCAUGCGCACCAACAGGAGUGUUGUUGUUUGGUCCCCCCUGGAUGCAGCAAAACGCUCAUGGCCCAUGCUGUAGCUUCUGAGGCAGGACUGAAUUUUCUGGCUGUCAAGGGUCCAAAGUUAUUCAGCAAGUGGGUUGGUGAAUCUGAGAAGGCUGUUAGAUCUCUUUUUGCCAAAGCAAGAGCUAACGUGCCAUCAGUUAUAUUUUUUGAUGAAAUAGACAGUCUUGUUGUCAUCCGUGGAAAGGAAAUUGAUGGUGUUUCAGUUGCAGAUAGGGUCAUGAGUCAACUUUUGGUUGAAUUGGAUGGUCUACAUGGAAGAGUUAAUGUUACUGUUAUUGCUGCUACAAAUCGUCCUGACAAGAUUGAUCCUGCCCUUCUUAGACCAGGGCGGUUUGAUUGAAUCCUAUAUGUUGGACCCCCUAGUGAAACAGAUCGUGUUGACGUAUUUCAUGUUCAUUUGCGUAAAAUGCCUUGCGGUUCUGAUGUUGAUGUAAGCGAGCUGGCUCAUCUCACUGAAGGUUGUACCGGUGCUGACAUAUCUUUGAUCUGCAGGGAAGCAGCAAUUUCAGCAAUUAAAGAGAACCUGAAUUGUUCAGAAGUAAAGAUGGAGCACUUGAAGACUGCAAUUCUUCGUGUACACCCAUCAGAGAUUCAACCUUAUCAAGAAUUGUCGGACAAGUUUCAGCGGCUUGUCCAAGUCUCCAUCAGAGGCAUGUGUACAUCAGCUUAAUAGACCAAAGGAGUUAUCAUCCUGGAUCAAGAUGAUGGAUUGGAUCUGAUAGCAAAUGAAGAUUAAGUUGACAUGAGAAUCAUGCAGACAUAAGGGAAAGCAGAUGAAGAUGAAAAGAUAGAAGACAUUUAGUUUUGGAUUAUACAUUUUAUUUUUAGAUAUGAUCAUUUGGUUUUAUUUUGAACAUAAUAAUAUAAUUUUCAUCAUUCGUGCAAUAACUAUUUCGGAUUCAUAUUAUAUAUUAUUAGUAUUAUUCUUUUUAUGGUUAAUAUUAUUGUUCUUAUAA